RNAcentral lists this ribosomal RNA (459 nucleotides) under uncultured bacterium. RNAcentral's name for it is "partial 16S ribosomal RNA". It matches the Rfam family "Bacterial small subunit ribosomal RNA", at positions 338 to 795 of the family's 1533-position model. The record is from RNAcentral.
CCUACGGGUGGCAGCAGUGAGGAAUAUUGGUCAAUGGGCGGGAGCCUGAACCAGCCAUGCCGCGUGAAGGCGAGUGCCCUACGGGCGUUAAACUUCUUUUGUGCGGGAGCAAUAAGGGCCACGCGUGGCCCGAUGAGAGUACCGCACGAAUAAGCAUCGGCUAACUCCGUGCCAGCAGCCGCGGUAAUACGGGGGAUGCGAGCGUUAUCCGGAUUUAUUGGGUUUAAAGGGAGCGUAGAUGGGUUGUUAAGUCAGUUGUGAAAGUUUGCGGCUCAACCGUAAAAUUGCAAUUGAUACUGGCGGCCUUGAGUACAGUUGAGGUAGGCGGAAUUCGUGGUGUAGCGGUGAAAUGCUUAGAUAUCACGAAGAACUCCGAUUGCGAAGGCAGCUUACUAAACUGCCACUGACAUUGAUGCUCGAAAGUGUGGGUAUCAAACAGGAUUAGAUACCCGUGUAGUC